This 500-nucleotide ribosomal RNA is filed under the name uncultured bacterium. Its description in RNAcentral is "partial 16S ribosomal RNA". It matches the Rfam family "Bacterial small subunit ribosomal RNA", at positions 30 to 523 of the family's 1533-position model. The record is from RNAcentral.
AUUGAACGCUGGCGGAAUGCUUUACACAUGCAAGUCGAACGGCAGCACGGACUUCGGUCUGGUGGCGAGUGGCGAACGGGUGAGUAAUGUAUCGGAACGUGCCCAGUCGUGGGGGAUAACGUAGUGAAAAUUACGCUAAUACCGCAUACGAUCUAUGGAUGAAAGCGGGGGAUCGCAAGACCUCGCGCGAUUCGAGCGGCCGAUAUCAGAUUAGGUAGUUGGUGGGGUAAAGGCCCACCAAGCCAACGAUCUGUAGCUGGUCUGAGAGGACGACCAGCCACACUGGAACUGAGACACGGUCCAGACUCCUACGGGAGGCAGCAGUGGGGAAUUUUGGACAAUGGGCAAAAGCCUGAUCCAGCCAUUCCGCGUGCAGGAUGAAGGCCCUCGGGUUGUAAACUGCUUUUGUACAGAACGAAAAGGUUUCUACUAAUACUAGGAGCUCAUGACGGUACUGUAAGAAUAAGCACCGGCUAACUACGUGCCAGCCGCCGCAGUAA